This 346-nucleotide RNase P RNA is filed under the name human gut metagenome. RNAcentral describes it as "Bacterial RNase P class A". It matches the Rfam family "Bacterial RNase P class A". From Rfam's summary of the family: Ribonuclease P (RNase P) is a ubiquitous endoribonuclease, found in archaea, bacteria and eukarya as well as chloroplasts and mitochondria. Its best characterised activity is the generation of mature 5'-ends of tRNAs by cleaving the 5'-leader elements of precursor-tRNAs. Cellular RNase Ps are ribonucleoproteins. The record is from RNAcentral.
GUCUGUCGCUCCGUCCAGCGGGACGUAGAGGAAAGUCCGGGCAACAAAGAGCACCGCAUUUUUUAACGGAAAGCCGGCAGCGAUGUCGGGGAUAAUGUGACAGAAAACAACCGCCGGGACCGGCAACGGCCCCGGUAAGGGUGAAAAGGCGGGGUAAGAGCCCACCGGGAUGCCGGGUGACCGGCGUCGCCGCACAUCCUGCGGGUUGCAAGGCCAAAUAUACCGGCAGUCAAGGGCUGCUCGUCCAUUGCCGGGGGGUAGGCUGCUAUAACGUGCCGGGCAACCGGCCGUAAAGAUAAAUGACAGACACGGCUCACGCCGUACAUAACCCGGCUUACAACGUCUC